This 371-nucleotide ribosomal RNA is filed under the name uncultured bacterium. RNAcentral describes it as "bacterial SSU rRNA". It matches the Rfam family "Bacterial small subunit ribosomal RNA", at positions 527 to 896 of the family's 1533-position model. The record is from RNAcentral.
GAAGGGUGCAAGCGUUACUCGGAAUUACUGGGCGUAAAGCGUGCGUAGGUGGUUCGUUAAGUCUGAUGUGAAAGCCCCGGGCUCAACCUGGGAACUGCAUUGGAUACUGGCGAUCUGGAGUGCGGUAGAGGGUGGCGGAAUUCCCGGUGUAGCAGUGAAAUGCGUAGAUAUCGGGAGGAACAUCCGUGGCGAAGGCGGCCACCUGGACCAGCACUGACACUGAGGCACGAAAGCGUGGGGAGCAAACAGGAUUAGAUACCCUGGUAGUCCACGCCCUAAACGAUGCGAACUGGAUGUUGGGUGCAACUUGGCACUCAGUAUCGAAGCUAACGCGUUAAGUUCGCCGCCUGGGAAGUACGGUCGCAAGACUG